GUGUUCGCUACGGCAGCACAUAUACUAAAAUUGGAACGAUACAGAGAAGAUUAGCAUGGCCCCUGCGCAAAGGAAUACAGAACUACACAGUUCUUGCAAUUAUAC
Small nuclear RNA from Acipenser ruthenus (sterlet), 105 nucleotides. Lineage: Eukaryota; Metazoa; Chordata; Actinopteri; Acipenseriformes; Acipenseridae. The record is from RefSeq and is a predicted model, not a curated record.